UACGGCGGCCAUAGCGGAGGGGAAACGCCCGGUCCCAUUCCGAACCCGGAAGCUAAGCCCUCCAGCGCCGAUGGUACUGCACUCGACAGGGUGUGGCAGAGUAGGACACCGCCGAAC
This 117-nucleotide ribosomal RNA is filed under the name Rhodococcus (subgen. Prescottella) equi. Lineage: Bacteria; Bacillati; Actinomycetota; Actinomycetes; Mycobacteriales; Nocardiaceae. The record is from RNAcentral.